CCCUUGGAUGUUCUGGGCCGCACGCGUGCUACACUGAGUGGAUCAGCGGGUCAGGUUGCGCGAAAGCGUUUCCUAAUCUUGAAAUCCGCUCGUGAUGGGGAUUGACGGUUGCAAUUUUCUGUCAUGAACGAGGAAUACCUUGUAAGCGCGAGUCAUCAUCCCGCGCUGAAUACGUCCCUGCCCUUUGUACACACCGCCCGUCGCUCCUACCGAUUGAGUGGUCCGGUGAGGCUUUGGGAUCUGAGCGGAAAGAGCGUUUCGCUCGUUCUGCCCGGAAAACUCAGUCGAACCUUAUCAUUUAGAGGAAGGAGAAGUCGUAACA
Molecule: ribosomal RNA, 322 nt
Filed under: uncultured eukaryote
Lineage: Eukaryota
Description: partial 18S ribosomal RNA
Rfam family: Eukaryotic small subunit ribosomal RNA
Source: RNAcentral